Molecule: ribosomal RNA, 252 nt
Filed under: uncultured bacterium
Lineage: Bacteria
Description: partial 16S ribosomal RNA
Rfam family: Bacterial small subunit ribosomal RNA
Source: RNAcentral
UACAGAGGUCUCAAGCGUUGUUCGGAUUCAUUGGGCGUAAAGGGUGCGUAGGUGCAUGGUAAGUCGGAUGUGAAAUCCCGGGGCUCAACCCCGGAACUGCAUUCGAUACUGCUGAGCUAGAGUACUGGAGAGGAGAUUGGAAUUUACGGUGUAGCAGUGAAAUGCGUAGAUAUCGUAAGGAAGACCAGUGGCGAAGGCGGAUCUCUGGACAGUUACUGACACUGAGGCACGAAGGCCAGGGGAGCAAACGGG